CCUACGGGUGGCAGCAGUGAGGAAUAUUGGUCAAUGGGCGCGAGCCUGAACCAGCCAAGUCGCGUGAGGGAAGACGGUCCUAUGGAUUGUAAACCUCUUUUGUCGGGGAGCAAAAGACGCCACGCGUGGCGUUCCGAGAGUACCCGAAGAAAAAGCAUCGGCUAACUCCGUGCCAGCAGACGCGGUAAUACGGAGGAGGCGAGCGUUAUCCGGAUUUAUUGGGUUAAAAGGGGGCGCAGGCGGAAGAUCAAGGCAGCGGUAAAAUUGAGAGGCUCAACCUCUUCGAGCCGUUGAAACUGGUGGUCUUGAGUGAGCGCGAAGUAGGCGGAAUGCGUGGUGUAGCGGUGAAAUGCAUAGAUAUCACGCAGAACUCCGAUUGCGAAGGCAGCAUACCGGCGCGCAACUGACGCUCAUGCACGAAAGUGUGGGUAUCGAACAGGAUUAGAUACCCCAGUAGUC
Molecule: ribosomal RNA, 459 nt
Filed under: uncultured bacterium
Lineage: Bacteria
Description: partial 16S ribosomal RNA
Rfam family: Bacterial small subunit ribosomal RNA
Source: RNAcentral